AGUGAACGCUGGCGGUAGGCCUAACACAUGCGAGUCGAACGGCAGCACAGUAAGAGCUUGCUCUUACGGGUGGCGAGUGGCGGACGGGUGAGGAAUACAUCGGAAUCUACUUUUUCGUGGGGGAUAACGUAGGGAAACUUAUGCUAAUACCGCAUACGACCUACGGGUGAAAGCAGGGGAUUUUCGGACCUUGCGCGUUUGAAUGCGCCGAUGUCGGAUGAGCUAGUUGGCGGGGUAAAGGCCCACCAAGGCGACGAUCCGUAGCUGGUCUGCGAGGAUGACCAGCCACAAUGGAACGAUAACCCGGAUCAGACUCCUGCGGCAGGCAGCAGUGUUGAAUAUUGGACGAGUGGCGGAGGUCUGACCCAGUCAUACCGUGUGGUUGACGAAGGCCUUGGGAUUGAAAAAGCCUUUUGUUGGGUAAGAAGAGCAAAAGGUUAAUACCCCGCUGUUCUGACGGUAGCCAAAGAAUAAGCACCGGCUAACUUCGUG
This 492-nucleotide ribosomal RNA is filed under the name uncultured bacterium. RNAcentral describes it as "partial 16S ribosomal RNA". It matches the Rfam family "Bacterial small subunit ribosomal RNA", at positions 29 to 507 of the family's 1533-position model. The record is from RNAcentral.